Molecule: ribosomal RNA, 331 nt
Filed under: uncultured eukaryote
Lineage: Eukaryota
Description: partial 18S ribosomal RNA
Rfam family: Eukaryotic small subunit ribosomal RNA
Source: RNAcentral
CCCUUAGAUGUUCUGGGCCGCACGCGCGCUACACUGUUCGACGCAGCGAGUCUUAACCUUGACCGAAAGGUUUGGGUAAUCUUCAGCAACGUCGAACGUGAUGGGGAUCGAUCAUUGCAAUUAUUGAUCGUGAACGAGGAAUUCCUAGUAAGUGCAAGUCAUCAGCUUGCGCUGAUUACGUCCCUGCCCUUUGUACACACCGCCCGUCGCUACUACCGAUUGAAUGGUUUAGUGAGAUCUCUGGAUUGACGCUGGCUAGGGGGCGACCCUUGGCCAGACUGUUGAGAAACUGCUCAAACUUGAUCAUUUAGAGGAAGUAAAAGUCGUAACA